GGACGGGCUUCUGGAGAGACCUAUUAGGCGCCGAAGGGGCAAGGCAAAACUGCUCAAUCUCUCAGGCAAAAGGACAGAAGAUAAAAU
Streptococcus equi subsp. zooepidemicus H70 is the source of this 87-nucleotide non-coding RNA. The record is from Rfam. NCBI's taxonomy places the organism in Bacteria, Bacillati, Bacillota, Bacilli, Lactobacillales, Streptococcaceae.